RNAcentral lists this ribosomal RNA (253 nucleotides) under uncultured bacterium. Its description in RNAcentral is "partial 16S ribosomal RNA". It matches the Rfam family "Bacterial small subunit ribosomal RNA", at positions 524 to 776 of the family's 1533-position model. The record is from RNAcentral.
UACGAAGGGGGCUAGCGUUGCUCGGAAUCACUGGGCGUAAAGGGUGUGUAGGCGGGUCUUUAAGUCAGGGGUGAAAUCCUGGAGCUCAACUCCAGAACUGCCUUUGAUACUGAAGAUCUUGAGUUCGGGAGAGGUGAGUGGAACUGCGAGUGUAGAGGUGAAAUUCGUAGAUAUUCGCAAGAACACCAGUGGCGAAGGCGGCUCACUGGCCCGGUACUGACGCUGAGGCACGAAAGCGUGGGGAGCAAACAGG